UACGAACUGUGCAAACGUUAUUCGGAAUCACUGGGCUUACAGGGUGCGUAGGCGGCCAGACAAGUAGGGUGUGAAAGCCCCCGGCUUAACCGGGGAAUGGCGCCCUAAACUGUAUGGCUGGAGUGAGAUAGGGGUGUGCGGAACUUCCGGUGGAGCGGUGAAAUGUGUUGAUAUCGGAAGGAACGCCGGUGGCGAAAGCGGCACACUGGAGCUCAACUGACGCUGAGGCACGAAAGCCAGGGGAGCGAACGGG
Molecule: ribosomal RNA, 253 nt
Filed under: uncultured bacterium
Lineage: Bacteria
Description: partial 16S ribosomal RNA
Rfam family: Bacterial small subunit ribosomal RNA
Source: RNAcentral